AUACGUAGGGGGCGAGCGUUGUCCGGAAUUAUUGGGCGUAAAGCGCAUGUAGGCGGUUUGGUAAGUCAGAAGUGAAAUUCCUGAGCUCAACUCGGGUGCUGCUUCUGAAACUGCAGGACUUGAGUGCUGGAGGGGAUAGCGGAAUUCCUAGUGUAGCGGUGAAAUGCGUAGAUAUUAGGAGGAACACCAGAGGCGAAGGCGGCUUACGGGACUGUAACUGACGUUGAGGCUCGAAGGCGUGGGGAGCAAACAGGAUUAGAUACCCUGGUAGGCCACGCGGUAAACGAUGAUCUCUAGGGGUCGGCGGCCAUAGGCGGUCGGUGCCGCAGCAAACGCAAUAAGUGAUCCGCCUGGGGAGUACGUUCGCAAGAAUGAAACUCAAAGGAAUUGACGGGG
This 396-nucleotide ribosomal RNA is filed under the name uncultured bacterium. RNAcentral describes it as "partial 16S ribosomal RNA". It matches the Rfam family "Bacterial small subunit ribosomal RNA", at positions 523 to 918 of the family's 1533-position model. The record is from RNAcentral.